GGACUGUGGAGCGCUCCAGGCACUGUCGGCAGUUGGCAACCUGCUGGGCCAGCUUCCGUAGCUUCAUCACCUGUCGGAGGAGCAGAAGCUUGAGAGGCACAGAGGGAAGGAACCCUGAGCCAGCAGCUGAUCAUGGUGCUGAACUGAACUGCUGGGUGACCAAGGUGUGAGGGAAUCUGCAUGUUCUCCCCCUCCCUUCUCCCAGGCUCCACACAUCCACUGGACCAUUUGGCAGGCAAAGCAGGGCAGAACAAAUGGAAAACCAAAUGGCAAUCCAUCAGGAAAACAGAAUUUCUCACUCCUCAGCUGGAGCACUUCAAACCAGCCACUAGAGGUUACUCCUUUCUCCACUGCUUCUGCGGAGGGUUUGGGCACUAAUCUGUGCCCUUUGCCUCUACCCAGCUGCCAAUUGUAGCAAAACAACAUCUCGGAGCUUCCAGGUCUUUCUAAGCAUGGGUGGAACUGGACAGCACAGCCUGGAGGAGUCAAGGAAGAGGGUGGGAAGAGCAAGCAGACAGACAGGUGGACCCCAGCACCGUUACAUAAAAUAUGUUCUCUGGAGUGCUUGGGGUAGAAGCAGGAUUCCAAAGCUCCCACUGCUGCCAGGGUGUCCUGGAGCUGUGCUGGUGGCUCUUCUGCCUACACACGUGGUGGAACCUGCUCCCAAACUGCCUGGCAGCAUCUGUAUUUGGGGCUUGGCCAUGGGUACCGUGGUGGGACCCCAGUGCACACCCAAGCUCAGUGAGAACAGCAAUGGGGUCAUGCAGGCUCCCCUGGGCACCCUCAGAACUACGGCCCUACAGCCCUCUUGCUGCUGCAUGUGGAGAGCCCAGAUGAGGCUGAUGUCUCAAACACCAACAGCUGGACAGCUGCAGAGCCAGCUGAGGGUUGUUAGAGCUGGAGAAGGGGCCCCACAGAGGUAGGGCAGCACUGUCCUGGAAAAAACAUCCUUGCUGUGACUCCUGGAGAUAAGCACAACACAGGAGCGAGAUGAAGGAGUGGCAUGGACUGUAGGGGAAUCGAGACCACGAAAGACCCCUGAAGCCUCUGACCCAUUUCCAGAAACGUCUGGAAGAAUGGACUGUGCAUGAGAACUGAUUUGCAGAGAAAGUGAGAACUCCCAGGAAAGGCAAAACUUACCUGUAAAAAGGUCCCCCCCAUAAGCACAGGCAGUGCCCCCAGCACCCUGACCCAUUUGUCAUUCCUUUCAACCAUGAGCACCUAUGAAUCUUGGGUCCCUUCCCCUUUGGGGUGGGAUGCUACACAUAGAAACCACCGGGAAACACCUGGAGCCACUGGAGGAAAGGUCCAAACAGUCCCACAAAAAUGAGGAACCACAGUGAUGAAGAGCCCUGAGGAAGCUGUCUGGAGUGAUCCAAGCCUCUGCACCAACUUGUCACGCUAACCAACACACUGUUCCUCCUCCAGCCAGCACAUGCUUUGUCCUUGGCAGAGCAGCCCUGGGGCAGCAGCAGUGAUGGACACCUGGAUAUAGGCUGGCAUGGAGGGAGGCACCAGGGGACACCUAGAGUUUGUACAAGGAGAUGCAUCAGUGCUGCUCAAAGCAAACCCCUCAUGGCAAGGCAACACAUGCUGCUGCAGCCCCUCUGCUUGAGGCUGGCACGUGGCAGCCUCACCGGCUGCGGGAGUGCUGCUCCUAGGGAGGCAGACCCUGCAGCAGCCACCCCGUGGGCACAGGAGGGCCCUGUGACCAGGGACACACGAGCUGGGACCCCUCACCUU
Passer domesticus (house sparrow) is the source of this 1743-nucleotide long non-coding RNA. RefSeq lists it as uncharacterized. The record is from RefSeq and is a predicted model, not a curated record. The transcript has 3 exons. Lineage: Eukaryota; Metazoa; Chordata; Aves; Passeriformes; Passeridae.